CAUGCUUAACAAUUCUACGAGUAAGAUCUGAUUAAAUGUUGCUAAACUUACUACCUAUUCUGUUCGAAUCUCACUUAUCUAUGUUUGGCUCUUUUAGAGAGGCAUUUAUAUCCAGGCAACAGUAUGGUAAUAAAAACAGCCAACAUCCCUCCACUGGUGAAGUAUAAGUAAUCAUGGGAAUGCCCAGUGGUUGAUUGGUUAAAAGUCUGCUCGGUACCCCUAGUUUUUGAGUGAGUCGUAUCAAACUCCAUACUUGAAGUAUCUUCUUGUAGACGUCUGGUGCAUGCUUUCAUUUAUUGCUGAGUGUAUAUAUGCAAUCAGCUUUUCUUAUUAGAUAAAAAUCAACCUUAGCGAUCGGCAGAAUAGACUAAGUCAAGCUCGCAAAUGGCACAUAUGUGUUGGAUAUCAAGCAAAUG
This 416-nucleotide unclassified non-coding RNA is filed under the name Hevea brasiliensis (rubber tree). Lineage: Eukaryota; Viridiplantae; Streptophyta; Magnoliopsida; Malpighiales; Euphorbiaceae. The record is from RNAcentral.